CUCUAUCUUCUGGGUUCUCUUAAAAUGAGCUCGUAAUAAUGUCUUGUGAUAAAUUUAUUUUAAAAUUUUAUUCCUGCCAACUUCUUGAAACUUAUAUUAAUUUUGUAGUAGAUGUAAACUCAGUGAAAGCAAAAUAUGCUAUGAGUUCUUGUUUUUCUCUUGGUAACUUUUCUGUAAUUCGUAAUUUGUAAAAUGUCUUUCAACCUAACCUUCCGAGCACAUUGUAGGAUUAUUCAUGCAUUAACAAUAAUUCUGGAUUUUUGAUCGAGACUGUACUGCUGAACCCAAUCAGUUGAUAACCACCGGUAUAAGGUGAAGACCAGUUGACCUUGCUUCAGAGCUGACUGACUCCCCUUUCAAAGGGCAAGGCCAAUUCAAGCUCAACAAAAUGACUUGCCAUAAUUCGAAUAUUUUUCAUCAAUAAACAUUCAUGGACAAGUAGAACAACGAUAACAGUAACCGUUACAAUACCUUUGAUAAUGAUAAAUUAUAAUGAUUUAGUUCCUACCACUUGAUAAUUCCAAUUUUAAUACAGUAGUGUAAUAAAUUGAAUAUGCAACAUUA
This is a long non-coding RNA of Nilaparvata lugens (brown planthopper), 564 nucleotides long. RefSeq lists it as uncharacterized. The record is from RefSeq and is a predicted model, not a curated record. NCBI's taxonomy places the organism in Eukaryota, Metazoa, Arthropoda, Insecta, Hemiptera, Delphacidae. The transcript has 2 exons.